RNAcentral lists this unclassified non-coding RNA (375 nucleotides) under soil metagenome. Its description in RNAcentral is "partial contains 5.8S ribosomal RNA, internal transcribed spacer 2, and large subunit ribosomal RNA". The stretch from base 1 to 119 matches the Rfam family "5.8S ribosomal RNA", at positions 35 to 154 of the family's 154-position model. The record is from RNAcentral.
GAUGAAGAAGCAGCGAAAUGCGAUAAGUAAUGUGAAUUGCAGAAUUCAGUGAAUCAUCGAAUCUUUGAACGCAUCUUGCGCUCCUUGGUAUUCUGAGGAGCAUGCCUGUUUGAGUGUCAUUAAAUUCUCAACUACACUGACUUUGAAUUGGUGUGGCUUGGAUUUGGGGGGAAAAUUGUUGUGGGCUUUUUGUAUAGUCUGCUCCCCUGAAAUUGAUUAGCGGUACCUUUGUGGAACUGUCUACAGGUGUGAUAAUUAUCUACAUCUUAGACAUCUGCUGGAAUGCUGCUUUCUAAACCUUACUUGUAUUGACAAUCUUGACCUCAAAUCAGGUAGGACUACCCGCUGAACUUAAGCAUAUCAAUAAGCGGAGGA